GAUGAACGCUGGCGGUAUGCUUAACACAUGCAAGUCGAACGAAAGUUUUUAACUUUAGUGGCGAACGGGUGCGUAAUACGUGAGAAUCUGCCCUUAGGAGGAGGAUAACUGCUGGAAACGGCUGCUAAUACUCCAUAUGUCGAGAGAUGAAAAAUUUAUUGCCUAAGGAUGAGCUCGCGCCUGAUUAGCUAGUUGGUGAGGUAAUGGCUCACCAAGGCCACGAUCAGUAGCUGGUUUGAGAGAACGAUCAGCCACACUGGGACUGAGACACGGCCCAGACUCCUCCGGGAGGCAGCAGUGAGGAAUUUUCCGCAAUGGGCGAAAGCCUGACGGAGCAAUACCGCGUGAGGGAUGAAGGAUUUUGGUCUGUAAACCUCUUUUCUCAAGAAAGAAGUUCUGACGGUACUUGAGGAAUAAGCAUCGGCUAACUCCGUGCCAGCAGCCGCCGUAAGAC
RNAcentral lists this ribosomal RNA (454 nucleotides) under uncultured bacterium. RNAcentral describes it as "bacterial SSU rRNA". It matches the Rfam family "Bacterial small subunit ribosomal RNA", at positions 28 to 526 of the family's 1533-position model. The record is from RNAcentral.